CCGGAUUCCAGGUUCCUUUUUCUUACUAGGUUUAAAUGAAAUCCUUUUUUUUCUUUAUUAGUAAUUCUACUGUCAUUCAUUAAAACCUUCCGAUUAGUUCUAACUAUCAAAUGCUAAGUUUCAACAACUUAUAUUUCUUGUUAUCAUUAAGAAAAUAUGUUUAUUGUUUUCUUUCACUUACUUGAAAAUUGUGUUCCUGUUAGGGUAAACAGGUUAUUACUCUUUGAAGAGUACACAUAGAAUAGCUGAAGUGCUCUAGUGAUUAUUUUGUUUCUGUGAAGUAAAUCAAUUGAUCUAACAAAUGAACCCUAAUGG
RNAcentral lists this unclassified non-coding RNA (315 nucleotides) under Hevea brasiliensis (rubber tree). Lineage: Eukaryota; Viridiplantae; Streptophyta; Magnoliopsida; Malpighiales; Euphorbiaceae. The record is from RNAcentral.